GUCUAUGGCGAUACCACCCUGAACGCGCCCGAUCUCGUCUGAUCUCGGAAGAAAUAAGCAUGUCCUUUGCGCUGCUGUGAGCU
RNAcentral lists this ribosomal RNA (83 nucleotides) under Tursiops truncatus (common bottlenose dolphin). The record is from RNAcentral. Lineage: Eukaryota; Metazoa; Chordata; Mammalia; Artiodactyla; Delphinidae.